UACGAAGGGGGCUAGCGUUGCUCGGAAUCACUGGGCGUAAAGGGUGCGUAGGCGGGUUUUUAAGUCAGGGGUGAAAUCCUGGAGCUCAACUCCAGAACUGCCUUUGAUACUGGCGAUCUCGAGUCCGGGAGAGGUGAGUGGAACUGCGAGUGUAGAGGUGAAAUUCGUAGAUAUUCGCAAGAGCACCAGUGGCGAAGGCGGCUCACUGGCCCGGUACUGACGCUGAGGUGCGAAAGCGUGGGGAGCAAACAGG
Molecule: ribosomal RNA, 253 nt
Filed under: uncultured bacterium
Lineage: Bacteria
Description: partial 16S ribosomal RNA
Rfam family: Bacterial small subunit ribosomal RNA
Source: RNAcentral